This 389-nucleotide RNase P RNA is filed under the name Actinotalea ferrariae. RNAcentral's name for it is "RNase P RNA component class A". It matches the Rfam family "Bacterial RNase P class A". From Rfam's summary of the family: Ribonuclease P (RNase P) is a ubiquitous endoribonuclease, found in archaea, bacteria and eukarya as well as chloroplasts and mitochondria. Its best characterised activity is the generation of mature 5'-ends of tRNAs by cleaving the 5'-leader elements of precursor-tRNAs. The record is from RNAcentral. Lineage: Bacteria; Bacillati; Actinomycetota; Actinomycetes; Micrococcales; Cellulomonadaceae.
UGAGUCGGCCAGGCGGUCGCGUCACCGGGAGACCGGUGCCGAGGAACGUCCGGGCUCCGCAGAGCGAGGUGGUGGGUAACACCCACCCGGGGCGACCCGCGGGACAGUGCCACAGAGAGCAGACCGCCUCGUGGAUCGGCCUCGGCCGGACCACGAGGUAAGGGUGAAACGGUGGUGUAAGAGACCACCAGCGCACCGGGCGACCGGUGCGGCUAGGUAAACCCCACCUGGAGCAAGGCCAGACAGGGAGCGUUCGAGGGCUGCUCGCCCGAGCUCCCGGGUAGGCCGCUGGAGGCGUGCGGCAACGUACGUCGUAGAUGGAUGGCCGCCACCCGCACCGGGGCAACCGGGUGCGGGGACAGAACCCGGCGUACCGGCCGACUCAUCCG